UAUCAGAGAACUAGUAAGACAGCAAAUUUAAGUACACAUUGAAAAGAAAAAACACUUUGUUACACGAAGCUGAAGUAAGGGAAACUUGUAACAAGACAGGCUCAAACAGAGGUACCAACUACAGGGUAUAAUUUGAAUCUAGGAAAAAGCACCCUGAAUGCAUGGGAAGAACUGAUGUUCUAAAAUGCUUCAUAUCUAAGAACUAUACUUAAGAACGAGAUUACUGUAAGAACUUAAACCUGUUGACAUGUUUCUUUUCCAAUAAAUAUAAAAUGCAUA
Nomascus leucogenys (northern white-cheeked gibbon) is the source of this 279-nucleotide long non-coding RNA. RefSeq lists it as uncharacterized. The transcript has 2 exons. Lineage: Eukaryota; Metazoa; Chordata; Mammalia; Primates; Hylobatidae. The record is from RefSeq and is a predicted model, not a curated record.